This 252-nucleotide ribosomal RNA is filed under the name uncultured bacterium. Its description in RNAcentral is "partial 16S ribosomal RNA". It matches the Rfam family "Bacterial small subunit ribosomal RNA", at positions 524 to 776 of the family's 1533-position model. RNAcentral also lists the same sequence under 2 other names. The record is from RNAcentral.
UACGUAGGGGGCAAGCGUUGUCCGGAUUUAUUGGGCGUAAAGAGCGUGUAGGCGGCUUGGUAGGUCUCGCGUCAAAACCUGAGGCUCAACCUCAGUUCGCGUGGGAAACCACCUAGCUAGAGUCCGGAAGAGGAGAACGGAAUUCCCAGUGUAGCGGUGAAAUGCGCAGAUAUUGGGAAGAACACCAGUGGCGAAGGCGGUUCUCUGGGACGGUACUGACGCUGAGACGCGAAAGCGUGGGGAGCGAACAGG